Molecule: transfer RNA, 94 nt
Filed under: Caldovatus sediminis
Lineage: Bacteria; Pseudomonadati; Pseudomonadota; Alphaproteobacteria; Acetobacterales; Roseomonadaceae
Description: tRNA-Ala
Source: RNAcentral
CGACGUCGUCGCCGGGCAGGCGGAGCGGCGCGAGGCCGGCGCCGCGCGGGGCACGCCGAUCCGCGUCCGCCCGGUUCCGGCCGAGGGCCUCGUC